This 416-nucleotide unclassified non-coding RNA is filed under the name Hevea brasiliensis (rubber tree). Lineage: Eukaryota; Viridiplantae; Streptophyta; Magnoliopsida; Malpighiales; Euphorbiaceae. The record is from RNAcentral.
CUCAGAUACAACUGGACGAGGAAGUGAGGAGGAUGUUAACUAUGGGAUUAAAAUCAGAUGAGUGAAGAAGUGCAACUAGAGUCUUAUGUGAUUUCAAGAUAUCAGCUAAGUUGAAGGAAAGUUUUACAAUAUUUUUACUCAACCAGCUUAUGAAGUAUGGCAACAGAUAUUGUGUGAAAUAUAUUCACAAGAUUGGUGUUGUAGAGAUGUUAAGACGGAUGUGCAAAAAAAUAAGAAUAGACAGGAUCAAGAAUGAAUGCAUUCCUAAGAGUGUGGAAAUAGCAACUAUUUGGGAAACGUUAAGGAAAAUUAAGAUGGUUUGGACAUGUGUUUUGUAGACCAGAAAAUGGACCAAUAUAUAAGGUUUGUAGUGAUAAGAGUAAGAAAUUGAGGGAGCAAUCUGGGAUGAUAUGGGG